This 714-nucleotide ribosomal RNA is filed under the name Salmonella enterica subsp. enterica serovar Typhimurium. RNAcentral describes it as "partial 23S ribosomal RNA". It matches the Rfam family "Bacterial large subunit ribosomal RNA", at positions 711 to 1337 of the family's 2925-position model. Lineage: Bacteria; Pseudomonadati; Pseudomonadota; Gammaproteobacteria; Enterobacterales; Enterobacteriaceae. The record is from RNAcentral.
AGACCCGAAACCCGGUGAUCUAGCCAUGGGCAGGUUGAAGGUUGGGUAACACUAACUGGAGGACCGAACCGACUAAUGUUGAAAAAUUAGCGGAUGACCUGUGGCUGGGGGUGAAAGGCCAAUCAAACCGGGAGAUAGCUGGUUCUCCCCGAAAGCUAUUUAGGUAGCGCCUCGUGAAUUCAUCUCCGGGGGUAGAGCACUGUUUCGGCUAGGGGGCCAUCCCGGCUUACCAACCCGAUGCAAACUGCGAAUACCGGAGAAUGUUAUCACGGGAGACACACGGCGGGUGCUAACGUCCGUCGUGAAGAGGGAAACAACCCAGACCGCCAGCUAAGGUCCCAAAGUCAUGGUUAAGUGGGAAACGAUGUGGGAAGGCCCAGACAGCCAGGAUGUUGGCUUAGAAGCAGCCAUCAUUUAAAGAAAGCGUAAUAGCUCACUGGUCGAGUCGGCCUGCGCGGAAGAUGUAACGGGGCUAAACCAUGCACCGAAGCUGCGGCAGCGAACGUAUCACCCAAGACAACUUUACGGAGUUGACGAUUGACGGAGCGAAGCGACGUCAAAGCGUUCAUUAAAGUCGAGUUGGCUUAGGGAUACGUUCGUUGGGUAGGGGAGCGUUCUGUAAGCCUGCGAAGGUGACCUGUGAGGGUUGCUGGAGGUAUCAGAAGUGCGAAUGCUGACAUAAGUAACGAUAAAGCGGGUGAAAAGCCCGCUCGC